UACAGAGGUCUCAAGCGUUGUUCGGAUUCAUUGGGCGUAAAGGGUGCGUAGGCUGUGGGGCAAGUCUGGUGUGAAAUCCCGGGGCUCAACCCCGGAACUGCAUCCGAUACUGCCAUGCUUGAGGGUUGGAGAGGUAGCUGGAAUUCUCGGUGUAGCAGUGAAAUGCGUGGAUAUCGAGAGGAACACUCGUGGCGAAGGCGAGCUACUGGACAACAUCUGACGCUGAGGCUCGAAGGCCAGGGGAGCAAAAGGG
Molecule: ribosomal RNA, 253 nt
Filed under: uncultured prokaryote
Description: partial 16S ribosomal RNA
Rfam family: Bacterial small subunit ribosomal RNA
Source: RNAcentral